AUAUAAAUAUAUACGGAAUUAGAGUGAACUUCUUCCAUAGAUAAUUAUAUUAUAUCCCUUAAUUAAGAUAAUUAUAUUAUAUCCCUUAAUUCACUCAAUGUCAUUCUCUUUAAAAAAAAAAAAAAGAAAGAAGUCAAUGGAUUGAAAAAUCGUGAGGGUGAUAAGAUAAUUAUAUUAUUUCCCUUAAUUCACUCAAUGUCAUUCUCUUUAAAAAGGAAAAAAAGAAAGAAGUCAAAAUUAAUUGAAAAAUCGUGAAGUUGAUAAUUAUUAAUCUAUAUACUAACAAAUUUAUAUUUUAGGGGUAAAAUAGGCAAUCCACAAGUUGUCCCUUAAAUUGUCAUUCGCUCUUUUUCUAUUAGUAUAGAUAUA
This 369-nucleotide long non-coding RNA is filed under the name Salvia miltiorrhiza (redroot sage). Its description in RNAcentral is "long non-coding RNA (SMIL_LNC002916)". Lineage: Eukaryota; Viridiplantae; Streptophyta; Magnoliopsida; Lamiales; Lamiaceae. The record is from RNAcentral.